UAAUUAGUUUUCUAGGGUUCCGCAAUUAUUAUUGGACUGGACCAAGAGAAAACGCAGGGGAAUCUUCCCUUGUUCACGGAAGGAUAAAAGCCUGGUAAAA
Molecule: small RNA, 100 nt
Filed under: Clostridium sp.
Lineage: Bacteria; Bacillati; Bacillota; Clostridia; Eubacteriales; Clostridiaceae
Description: Guanidine-I sequence
Rfam family: Guanidine-I riboswitch aptamer
About the family: This family represents a conserved RNA structure found upstream of the ykkC and yxkD genes in Bacillus subtilis and related genes in other bacteria. The function of this family is unclear although it has been suggested that it may function to switch on efflux pumps and detoxification systems in response to harmful environmental molecules.
Source: RNAcentral